GACGAACGCUGGCGGCGUGCUUAACACAUGCAAGUCGAACGGAAAGGCCUUUUCGGGGGUACUCGAGUGGCGAACGGGUGAGUAACACGUGGGUGAUCUGCCCUGCACUCUGGGAUAAGCCUGGGAAACUGGGUCUAAUACCGGAUAGGACCGCACUUUAGUGUGUGUGGUGGAAAGUUUUUUCGGUGUAGGAUGAGCCCGCGGCCUAUCAGCUUGUUGGUGGGGUAAUGGCCUACCAAGGCGGCGACGGGUAGCCGGACUGAGAGGUUGGUCGGCCACAUUGGGACUGAGAUACGGCCCAGACUCCUACGGGAGGCAGCAGUGGGGAAUAUUGCACAAUGGGCGCAAGCCUGAUGCAGCGACGCCGCGUGGGGGAUGACGGCCUUCGGGUUGUAAACUCCUUUCGCCAGGGACGAAGCGUUUUGUAACGGUACCUGGAGAAGAAGCACCGGCUAACUACGUG
Molecule: ribosomal RNA, 463 nt
Filed under: uncultured bacterium
Lineage: Bacteria
Description: partial 16S ribosomal RNA
Rfam family: Bacterial small subunit ribosomal RNA
Source: RNAcentral